This 4010-nucleotide long non-coding RNA is filed under the name Podarcis lilfordi (Lilford's wall lizard). Lineage: Eukaryota; Metazoa; Chordata; Lepidosauria; Squamata; Lacertidae. The record is from RNAcentral.
CUGCAAAGAGAAGGACAUGGGGACAGGUGAGUUCGUCCCUGAGCCCCUGACAAGGCUAUUCCAAGAGUUUUCUCCUGGAUUCCAAGUCCUAUUACAGGGGAGGGACACCCCAGGCCUUGGGAGCCAAUCCUGGCCUCCUGCCCCCAGAACAUGGCUCCCCAGGGAAGGUGCCCCUCCCGCUGACAACUGUCCCCCCCGCCUUGCCCCGCAGCCCAGCCCCCUGCUUCCUCCAUUGGACCCCACAAAACGGGGUGGUCGCUGGCAGGGUUGGGUUUCCAGACACUGGCUCAGAUAGACCUUGGGUUGGAUCCAGCCGUCUGGCUCUGUGCAUCUUUUGACUAGCUGCCCCCCUAGCCCAUUCCUGCCCUCCUCUGUCCCAAAAAGGAGGACCACUUGCUCACCUGACACCAUGGGCUGCUCUGGGCCUUGCAGGCCUGUUGCUGCGGCUGAUCAGGCAUCUUGAACACCUUAACUUAGAAGAGAGGAGCAGAGAGAGUGACUCAGAAGCUGGCAGCCCCAAUUCUUGGGGGGCGUUUGUGUGUGAGGAGGGGCGUCUGGCUCAAUUCUUUCCAUCUCUCUGCAGUUCAGUGACCUGAAAGGGCAUCGCCAGAGCUGGAAAGAGGCAGCCCAGAGCAUGAAUGGCUGGCAGAGAGACAAAGGAGGCCCCAAGUGCUAUGGGUUCAAGAGCUCCAGCCCAAUGGAAAGACAAGCAUUGCCAACUGUUAAAAGGGCUGCUCUGCCUCGUCUUAGGACAGCCCUGCCCUUCCUGGAGAGGGAGGACACCCCUAGGAGGAUCCUCCAAGCAUCAAGGUGUCCCAGAAGAGGAGCAGAACAUGAGGAAGGUGUUGGAAUCUUCCAUGGAGCCAGAGAGACCCCCAGGAAGGGGGAGAAGGCCGAUGUCGUAGGGCAGUUGGAGAGAUGCAAAAUGGAGCCAGGCAUAGGUGUAGCGGUUGGAGGUCUGGACUAGGAGGACCUGGGAGAGCAGGGUUUGAAUCCCCACUCAGCCAUGAAGCUCCCUGGUGGACCUUGGGCCAGCCUAGCCUACUUUGCAGGGCUGCUGUGAAGAUAACAAUUGGUGGCAGGGAGAUCCAUGAAGGCCAUCUUGAGCUCCUGGGAGGAAAGUGGUCUAUGAAUGUCCUAGUAAAUGUAAAUGAUGAGAGGGGAGAGAAAAGGGGAAGGCAGAGAAAGAGUGUGGAGGAGCUGAAAACCAAGCCUGAUGAGGAACAGUUGAGGCAGCUGGGUAUGUUUAGCCUGGAGAAGAGGAGACUGAGAGGAGAGCCAUCUUUCAAUAUCUGUGGGCUACAAGAGGGAGCAAGCUUGUUUUCUGCUGCUCCAGAGAGGAGGGCAGGAGAGGAGAUUCGGACUAAACGUUAGGAAGAACUUUCUGAUAGUAAGACUCUCUGGGCAGUGGUGGACUCUCUUUCCUUGGAGGCUUUGAAGCAGAGGUUGGAUGCCAGUCUGUGAGGGAUUCAGCUGCAAUUUGGGGAGUGAAUAGCACUGGCCUACUUUACAGGGUUGUUGUAACCACACAGGGCUGCUGAGCAUCCAAAAGUUCCUGACAAAUGUUGAGCCUUCCAUUUCAUUGUAGGGAACAGCUGCAGCGCAUCAGGAGGCGUCCCUCAACUUCCGUUUCUUCUCUCUCCUGCAGCCAAAGGGGCCGGGCUGAAUUACCAAAUAGGCAAAGUAGGCACUGGCCUAUGGGCCCCACACUUUUUAGGGGUCCCACAACAAUGGAUCAAAAUAAUAUUGAUCUGAUCUUGAAAGAAAACGACAAUCAAGCUUUCUUAGUUCAAUAUUAUUCCAGCGUGCGCACAAAGCCUGCCACCGCCCAGAUUUUGACUGCCAAGGGGCCUCCACAGGGUUUAAUCCAUCACUCCCCCCCCCAGAUGUUGCUGGACUCUCAAGUCCCACCAGCUGAAAACAGCAAGGUUGGGGAUAAUGGGAGAUGUGGAUCAAUAACAUAGAGGGCUGUAGAUAUAGAGUGCAGGUUUCUCAAGCUCCCUCAGUGGAAUCUAGAGACUACCUGGAAUCCAGGGCAAGAGGAAUGUUUGGCUGAUCACGGAGCAAACAGGUCCAGCUAGUCCUGGACAUCUUAAAUUAGUGGACAGAAGAUAUACCGUAUGCUAGGUCAGGGUGUUGUUACAUUGAUCCCACCUGAUAAGAGACUUGGGACAGGCCAGAGAGAUCUUGAAAGCAGAUCUUCUCUGCAAGAGCUUCCAAAAGCGUGUAUGUUAAACUUUAUUUAAAAUAUGUCUUCUGCCUUUCCCUGUAAGUGUUCUUAUAAAUAAGAACUGCGAAAUACAAUACAUUCAACUCCCCUCUCACAACAAAAAUAGCAAACCAUACAAGUAUCCCUCCCCAACCUGGUGCCCUUCAGGCGUGUUGGGAUUACAACUCCCACCAGUCACAGCCAGCAAGACUGUACAGUGGUACCUUGGUUUAAGAACAGCUUAGUUUAUGAACAACUUGGAUUAAGAACGCUGCAAACCUGGAAGUAGGUGUUUUGGUUCAUGAACUUUGCCUUGGAAGCAGAACAUGUUUCGCUUCCUUUUGAGGGUAAAUUGCUAUGGGAAAGCAUGCCUUGGUUUAAGAACGCUUUGGUUUAAGAAUGGACUUCCAGAAUUAAGUUCGUAAACCAAGGUACCACUGUAUUAAAGUGACUGAUACAUAUCCCACAUGUAUGAUGCCUGGGCUGAUGAAACCUGCAGUCUCAAAUGGCCACGCUAGCUGGAGAUGAUGCCAGUUACAGUCCAAAACAUCCAGAGGGCACCAGCUUGGAAAAGACUGCAUACAAAGUUCUUCCCAAGACAGGCAUUCUCCAGUCCCCUUUCCCCACUGUGCAAAUAAAUAGGUUGUGUGUGUGCAUUUUUGUGCAUCACAGAUUGCAAUGCACAAGUGUGGAGUUGGCCUUGGGGAAGGAAUCCAGCAUGUUGGCCUGCCUUUGAUAAAAACAAGAGAGGUGAUAAUAGGGUCACUAAAUUGUAUGUCUUUGGUGGGGAAUAAGCAAAUCUUGUGAGGACUGGUCUCCCAAUUGUGAUGAGCCAUGAGAGCUGCGUGUAGAGCCUAACUGUUCAGGAGCAGUCUACCCCCUGGUUAGCAGACGCUGGAGACAAACAACAAAGAAUGGCUACUGCCUCCAAGCCUUGUCAAUUGGGCUUGCCAAAAACAUCUGGCUGGUUGGGGAGAGAGUUCAAGGUUAGCUGGAUCUUUGGUCUAAUCCAGCAAUACCAAUUUUAAAGUUUCUAUGGCUGCGGAGAUAAGGCUAUCAAUGGCUGCUGACCUACAGCUGUAGGCAGUAAUGCUUCUAGAUAACACCUGCUGGGAUGCGCAGGUAAUGAGAGCAUUGUCACACUCAGGUUCUGUUUUAGGUAAAGUUGCCAGAUUUUUUUCAAUGAAUCCGGGGACACUUUUCAACUUCAAUGGAUUUUGUAUGGGGACUGAUCUGUAAAUCCAGGGAUUGUCCCCAGGAAACUGGGACGUCUGGUAACCUUAUUUUUAGGGCUUCCCAAAGGCAUUUGGUUGUCCUCUGUAAGAAAUGGGUAAGAAAGGAUGUUUAGAAUAGUCUUCUCCCAAAAGCCUGAAGCGUUUCUUUUGGAAAUAGAAGGGACAGGGGUCCCUCCAAAGAGUUGGUUAAAACUGUUUAUGUUCGCUACCAAUGCAGACAGAAUUAUGUUCACACAGAAAUGGAAGGAAAAAGAAGUUCCAACAGAAGAGGAGUGGACUUUGAAAUUAUUGGACUGUGGCAAAGAAUCCAAAAAUAUUGGACUACGGCAAAAAUGACAGCAAAAUAAGAGACCAAAAUGAAGAAACGCUUGUAGAAGAACGGAGAUCCUUUUCGGAUUAUCUGAGAAAAUAUUAAAGUCAAAUGAAAUAGCAGGCAGGACUUGAAAGGAAUGGGAAUGAUAAAGCAAUGUGUGUUUUAAUGAAAUAUUACAUUAAUGGCAGUAGAUGAAUGAUUUGAAUAGAAGCAUCGUGGAAGGAAGGAUGGAAAGUCAAAAAUUUAAGGGAAU